This 395-nucleotide ribosomal RNA is filed under the name uncultured bacterium. RNAcentral describes it as "bacterial SSU rRNA". It matches the Rfam family "Bacterial small subunit ribosomal RNA", at positions 29 to 408 of the family's 1533-position model. The record is from RNAcentral.
AAUCAACGCUGGCGGCGUGCCUAACACAUGCAAGUCGAGCGCGAAAGGGGAGCAAUCCCCAAGUAGAGCGGCGAACGGGUGAGUAACGCGUGGGUAAUCUGCCUCCGAGUGGGGAACAAACAUCGGGAAACUGGUGCUAAUACCGCAUAACAUCGUUGGGUUUUCGGAUCUGACGAUCAAAGCCGGGGACCGCAAGGCCUGGGCGCUUGGAGAGGAGCCCGCGUCCGAUUAGCAGGUUGGUGGGGUAAUGGCCCACCAAGGCUUCGAUCGGUAGCCGGCCUGAGAGGGCGGACGGCCACACUGGGACUGAGACACGGCCCAGACUCCUACGGGAGGCAGCAGUGGGGAAUUUUCGCAAUGGGCGAAAGCCUGACGAAGCAACGCCGCGUGGAGGA